Long non-coding RNA from Lotus japonicus, 1205 nucleotides. RefSeq lists it as uncharacterized. The transcript has 3 exons. NCBI's taxonomy places the organism in Eukaryota, Viridiplantae, Streptophyta, Magnoliopsida, Fabales, Fabaceae. The record is from RefSeq and is a predicted model, not a curated record.
AACUUCUAACUUCUAAGGGUAAAAUGGCAGUUUGAACCACCUAAUUGUGUGCGCUCCACCUAGACUUCGAAAAUUCUACCCGCGCUACCCUUCUCUCGAAAUUUCUCAACCAACAUUCACAACUAGUCGAUUUUUCACUUCCCUUUCUCCCUGCAUCUUUCUCUUUUGUGUUAGGGUUUUUAUCUCUCUUCGCGUUUCGUUUCUUUGUUCGGGUUUGGUUGUUGAGAGAUUGUCGAGGGUUUGCGUCUCUGGUACGUUGAGAUAGGGUUGUGGAACUCGCCGAAACGUUGGCGAUUUUGAGCACAACAUUGUGUAUGCCAUCGAGCUUGUUUCAGGCCACACUACUUUCAAGGAAAUUAUAAGAAGUUCUUCUAUGCACACCAACCAUACUAGCACCAUGUAUCUGUCUGCACAUUGAAAUGGUGGCCGGUGGUUAGUCGAGAGUGUGAUUGCUGAUUCCUGUUCGAAGAUUUGGAGACGGAGGCAUUUUCAUUUGGAAUUUGAGGAGAUCAAUCGAUGAGGUCAUUCCCAAGCUGGAGAAGAAGCUCUCAGAUGCAGCGGUGGUGAGGUUGUGGUGUGGUUCAUGGAAGAAAAAACAAAUGACAUUACCAAACAGGGCGGCAAGAAGCACUACUAGUGUAACUCCAAUGAAGCCAAUGGCUAGAAUCCAGAGACGUGUUGGCAUCAUAUUCCACAAAAGCUAUUGGAAGAUCCUCCCUAGUUGUGAGCAAUUCUCAAUUUGAACCAUUCAAGGCUGAAGAAAACUGAAUAUCAAGGACACAAUCAUAAACACGAGUUUGAAGAGUGCUCAACAGCAGAAGCAAACAGCAAAGGAGUUUUCCCCCAGAAACUUGGUUACAUUAGAACAAGAGAAAUUUAAGUAUUUAACACGAAGAUCCAAAUUUGAAGAUUCUACGCAAUUUUAAUACAAUUGGAAACAAGAUCAGGGGCAUAAGAUUUAAGCAAAUGGCAUUAGCGUGGUUGUUCCACAAGUUCUCUGAAUGAGCUUUCAGCCGCUUGGAAUGAAUUGCCGUACUUUUGGAAUAUAUGUAUAAUAUUCUUACAAAAAGUGCCGGUGGAUGCAAGUGUUGACUGUCUUUUUUCAAUAUUGUUAAAAAAAUUAUUUACCAAAAUAUUGUAUUUUUAAGUAUUUAUCAAUGGUCUAUUCAAAAAAAAAAAGUAUUUAUCAAUGGUUAUUUUGGCCA